AGAGUUUGAUCAUGGCUCAGGACGAACGCUGGCGGCGUGCUUAACACAUGCAAGUCGAACGGAAAGGCCCUUCGGGGUACUCGAGUGGCGAACGGGUGAGUAACACGUGGGUGAUCUGCCCUGCACUCUGGGAUAAGCCUGGGAAACUGGGUCUAAUACCGGAUAGGACCGCAUGCUUCAUGGUGUGUGGUGCAAAGCUUUUGCGGUGUGGGAUGAGCCCGCGGCCUAUCAGCUUGUUGGUGGGGUAAUGGCCUACCAAGGCGACGACGGGUAGCCGGCCUGAGAGGGUGACCGGCCACACUGGGACUGAGAUACGGCCCAGACUCCUACGGGAGGCAGCAGUGGGGAAUAUUGCACAAUGGGCGCAAGCCUGAUGCAGCGACGCCGCGUGAGGGAUGACGGCCUUCGGGUUGUAAACCUCUUUCAGUAGGGACAAAGCGAAAGUGACGGUACCUACAGAAGAAGGACCGGCCAACUACGUGCCAGCAGCCGCGGUAAUACGUAGGGUCCGAGCGUUGUCCGGAAUUACUGGGCGUAAAGAGCUCGUAGGUGGUUUGUCGCGUUGUUCGUGAAAACUCACAGCUUAACUGUGGGCGUGCGGGCGAUACGGGCAGACUAGAGUACUGCAGGGGAGACUGGAAUUCCUGGUGUAGCGGUGGAAUGCGCAGAUAUCAGGAGGAACACCGGUGGCGAAGGCGGGUCUCUGGGCAGUAACUGACGCUGAGGAGCGAAAGCGUGGGUAGCGAACAGGAUUAGAUACCCUGGUAGUCCAA
RNAcentral lists this ribosomal RNA (773 nucleotides) under uncultured bacterium. RNAcentral's name for it is "bacterial SSU rRNA". It matches the Rfam family "Bacterial small subunit ribosomal RNA", at positions 8 to 798 of the family's 1533-position model. The record is from RNAcentral.